This 622-nucleotide ribosomal RNA is filed under the name Umbelopsis dimorpha. RNAcentral's name for it is "eukaryotic LSU rRNA". The stretch from base 207 to 360 matches the Rfam family "5.8S ribosomal RNA". Lineage: Eukaryota; Fungi; Mucoromycota; Umbelopsidomycetes; Umbelopsidales; Umbelopsidaceae. The record is from RNAcentral.
CUUUCCGUAAGGGGAACCUGCGGAAGGAUCAUUACCAAGAGAAAUCUUUCAACACUGAAAGAUCUUUUCCUUUGUGCUGGCUUUGACCGUAUGUAAUUUUGGGACUUUAAAAUGGUUCGCAAGGGCCGGUCCCAAAAACAAUAUAUCAUCCUUAUGAAAUUUUUUCUGAACAAUUAAACAAAUGAUUUUAAUAAUCUGUUUAAAACAACUUUCAACAACGGAUCUCUUGGUUCUCGCAUCGAUGAAGAACGCAGCGAAAUGCGAUACGUAAUGUGAAUUGCAGAAUUCAGUGAAUCAUCGAAUCUUUGAACGCACAUUGCACUCCUUGGUAUUCCGAGGAGUAUGCCUGUUUCAGUAUCAUGAGCACUCUCACACCUAACCUUUGGGUUUAUGGCGUGGAAUUGGAAUGCGCCGACUGUCAUGGUUGGCCCUUCUAAAAUGUAGUUCUUGGCUGUCACCUAAUACAGCAGUUUGGCCUAAUAGUUUUGGCAUUCAUUGUCAAAUCUUUGGCUAACAUUUGCUCCAGGAGUCAGUCUUGAUAAUACAGAAAACUCAUUCAAAUUUUGAUCUGAAAUCAGGUAGGGCUACCCGCUGAACUUAAGCAUAUCAAUAAGUGGAGGAA